UUUGGAGGAGACUUGUAUAGCGCAUCACUAACAAAGGAAGGGUUUAGUCUCUAAGUACCUCUACUAUAGUAAGGGUUAUCUAAAUGGACCAUUGUGGAUAACUUUUUAUAAUGGUUAUAUCAAGAAUGAAAAUGAGACCGAGAAGACUGUAGGUGAAAUUGGGGAAAAAUACCAACAUUAGAGUUCAGAUAUUGGGGGAUUCUGGAAGCUGUAGUUCUAAUACAUCUGCAGCCUCUCUCUCUACAACUCCCAGUUCCCCCAUCAAUUCUCACCUUCAGUCAUCUGUCACCAACACACCAGAACUAUCUGACAGGACUUCUUCUAAAAUCUCAAAAAAUGAAUUGAAAUGGAUUAUUUCAUGAUGGGUCUCAGUGUUCUCUAUUAAUUCUUUUCAUGUUAAGUCAUGAAGAUAGUUCCUUACUUCUUGAGACAGAAUUUGGAAGUAUGCCUAGAAAAAUUCAUGUGCUGUCAGAAACAACUGCUGAACUCCCAGGAUAAUGUAAGGAAACAUGUCUCCCCCCAGCUCUGGUCUUUCCUGCAUGUUUAUCCAGCAGUUACAUCACAAAACAAUGAGAAUUUUGCACAUCAAAGUUGGGACUUCUUCACCUCAUUGGACUGAACACAGAGAGAGGAAGUUUUCAAACAGAGCAGCAAAGAAAAGGCCCAUAGCAUCUUCCUUGCGACUUCAUAGGUGCAUGUCCUUGCCCAUAUUAGCUGCAUACAUGAGUCAUUACCUUUGAAGUCACAUGCAUUUCACUCCAAUGCUUUCUUAACAGCCUUUUUUGAGAGUCAGAUCCAAACUGGGAACAAAAGCUGUGGGACAAAACAUUCCACAAAGAAUGGGCCUUUGAAAGGAGAAUAAAGUUACAGGCAAGUUAAUGACAAGCAACAGGAACUUGCUGUUUUCCCUAGAAAGACAAAAGCAACAUUGCAAUGUGCCAUCACAAGCUAGGCCCCUUUGAGGCAUGAGUACAAGCUCACAAUUCACAUAGAAAAGGACCAGGAUUGAAUCAUGGCUGUACCAUGCUGGUAACAUCAGUUUGACUUCUGUUGGCAUCCCUACAGACGCCAGUGCUUACUGAACAAGAUGCCAGUCUCUUUUGCUUAGUAUUAUCCAAUAUUAUCUUAUUAAAGAUUUGACUCAUGAA
Molecule: non-coding RNA, 1148 nt
Organism: Pantherophis guttatus
Lineage: Eukaryota; Metazoa; Chordata; Lepidosauria; Squamata; Colubridae
Source: RefSeq, a predicted model, not a curated record